AACACAUGCAAGUCGAACGGCAGCACAGAGGAGCUUGCUCCUUGGGUGGCGAGUGGCGGACGGGUGAGGAAUACAUCGGAAUCUACUCUGUCGUGGGGGAUAACGUAGGGAAACUUACGCUAAUACCGCAUACGACCUACGGGUGAAAGCAGGGGAUCUUCGGACCUUGCGCGAUUGAAUGAGCCGAUGUCGGAUUAGCUAGUUGGCGGGGUAAAGGCCCACCAAGGCGACGAUCCGUAGCUGGUCUGAGAGGAUGAUCAGCCACACUGGAACUGAGACACGGUCCAGACUCCUACGGGAGGCAGCAGUGGGGAAUAUUGGACAAUGGGCGCAAGCCUGAUCCAGCCAUACCGCGUGGGUGAAGAAGGCCUUCGGGUUGUAAAGCCCUUUUGUUGGGAAAGAAAUCCAACUGGUUAAUACCCGGUUGGGAUGACGGUACCCAAAGAAUAAGCACCGGCUAACUUCGUGCCAGCAGCCGCGGUAAUACGAAGGGUGCAAGCGUUACUCGGAAUUACUGGGCGUAAAGCGUGCGUAGGUGGUUAUUUAAGUCCGUUGUGAAAGCCCUGGGCUCAACCUGGGAACUGCAGUGGAUACUGGAUGACUAGAAUGUGGUAGAGGGUAGCGGAAUUCCUGGUGUAGCAGUGAAAUGCGUAGAGAUCAGGAGGAACAUCCAUGGCGAAGGCAGCUACCUGGACC
RNAcentral lists this ribosomal RNA (696 nucleotides) under uncultured Pseudomonadota bacterium. RNAcentral describes it as "bacterial SSU rRNA". It matches the Rfam family "Bacterial small subunit ribosomal RNA", at positions 50 to 735 of the family's 1533-position model. Lineage: Bacteria; Pseudomonadati; Pseudomonadota. The record is from RNAcentral.